ACCAAAUAGAUACCCGGGUAGUCCACGCCCUAAACGAUGCGAACUGGAUGUUGGGUACGACUUACGGUACUCAGUGUCGAAAGCUAAACGCGUUAAGUUCGCCGCCUGGGGAGUACGGUCGCAAGACUGAAACUCAAAGGAAUUGACGGGGGCCCGCGCAAGCGGUGGAGUAUGUGGUUUAAUUCGAUGCAACGCGAAGAACCUUACCUGGCCUUGACAUCUGUCGAAUCCUGCAGAGAUGCGGGAGUGCCGCAAGGAACGACAAGACAGGUGCUGCAUGGCUGUCGUCAGCUCGUGUCGUGAGAUGUUGGGUUAAGUCCCGCAACGAGCGCAACCCUUGUCCCUAGUUGCCAGCACGUAAUGGUGGGAACUCUAGGGAGACUGCUGGUGACAAACCGGAGGAA
RNAcentral lists this ribosomal RNA (404 nucleotides) under uncultured bacterium. Its description in RNAcentral is "bacterial SSU rRNA". It matches the Rfam family "Bacterial small subunit ribosomal RNA", at positions 772 to 1171 of the family's 1533-position model. The record is from RNAcentral.